Molecule: ribosomal RNA, 252 nt
Filed under: uncultured bacterium
Lineage: Bacteria
Description: partial 16S ribosomal RNA
Rfam family: Bacterial small subunit ribosomal RNA
Source: RNAcentral
UACGUAGGUCCCGAACGUUGUCCGGAUUUAUUGGGCGUAAAGCGAGCGCAGGUGGUUUAUUAAGUCUGGUGUAAAAGGCAGUGGCUCAACCAUUGUAUGCAUUGGAAACUGGUAGACUUGAGUGCGGGAGAGGAGAGUGGAAUUCCAUGUGUAGCGGUGAAAUGCGUAGAUAUAUGGAGGAACACCGGUGGCGAAAGCGGCUCUCUGGCCUGUAACUGACACUGAGGCUCGAAAGCGUGGGGAGCAAACAGG